This 208-nucleotide long non-coding RNA is filed under the name Pelobates cultripes (western spadefoot toad). Lineage: Eukaryota; Metazoa; Chordata; Amphibia; Anura; Pelobatidae. The record is from RNAcentral.
GUAUAACAGAGCUCCACAGCAAUACUACUCCCAGUAAUGUGUCUGAGUGUAUAACAGAGCUCCACAGCAAUAAUACUCCCAGUAAUGUGUCUGAGUGUAUAACAGAGCCCCACAGCAAUAAUACUCCCAGUAAUGUGUCUGAGUGUAUAACAGAGCUCCACAGCAAUAAUACUCCCAGUAAUGUGUCUGAGUGUAUAACAGAGCUCCA